AUGGGAUCUGGUGCUGGAAGUUUCCUCAAAGUUCUCUUUAAAAACUUCGAUGUUCUUGCUGGGCCUGUGGUUAGUUUGGUUUAGCCACUGUAAGUUUUGGUUCAAAGAUUAUAGCUUUAUGAAUUCUGAUCUUUUUUUUUUCUUAUGCAUUGUUCUGUGUUCAUGUUAAAUCCUCUGUAAUCUGGUUAACUGAUUCUAGGUUGUUGUGGAGUAUGGCUUUGUUCAUUUCCAGAAGAAUCGUACGUUCAUUUGGUUCUGGUUUAGCAUCAGGCCAUGUUU
Molecule: long non-coding RNA, 279 nt
Filed under: Rosa chinensis
Lineage: Eukaryota; Viridiplantae; Streptophyta; Magnoliopsida; Rosales; Rosaceae
Description: sRNA RchiOBHm_Chr6g0310181
Source: RNAcentral